This 589-nucleotide ribosomal RNA is filed under the name uncultured bacterium. Its description in RNAcentral is "bacterial SSU rRNA". It matches the Rfam family "Bacterial small subunit ribosomal RNA", at positions 120 to 743 of the family's 1533-position model. The record is from RNAcentral.
GGGAAUCUUCCUAUUGGUAUGGAAUAGCUCAGGGAAACUUGGGGUAAUACCGUAUAAGCCCGAGAGGGGAAAGAUUUAUCGCCAAUAGAUGAGCCCGCGUCUGAUUAGCUAGUUGGUGAGGUAAUGGCUCACCAAGGCGACGAUCAGUAGCUGGUCUGAGAGGAUGAUCAGCCACACUGGGACUGAGACACGGCCCAGACUCCUACGGGAGGCAGCAGUGGGGAAUAUUGGACAAUGGGCGCAAGCCUGAUCCAGCCAUGCCGCGUGAGUGACGAAGGUCUUCGGAUUGUAAAGCUCUUUUGGCGGGGACGAUAAUGACGGUACCCGCAGAAUAAGCCCCGGCUAACUUCGUGCCAACAGCCGCGGUAAUACGAAGGGGGCUAGCGUUGUUCGGAAUCACUGGGCGUAAAGCGCACGUAGGCGGAUUUGUUAGUCAGGGGUGAAAUCCCGGGGCUCAACCUCGGAACUGCCUCUGAUACUGCAGAUCUCGAGUCCGAUAGAGGUGAGUGGAAUUCCUAGUGUAGAGGUGAAAUUCGUAGAUAUUAGGAAGAACACCAGUGGCGAAGGCGGCUCACUGGAUCGGUACUGA